AACGUAGGAGGCGAGCGUUAUCCGGAGUGACUGGGCGUAAAGCGCGUGUAGGCGGUCAGGCAAGCUGGGUGUGAAAGCGCCAGGCUCAACCUGGCGAGGCCAUCCAGGAAUUCGUGGCUGGAGGCCGGUAGAGGAGUGCGGAAUUCCGGGUGUAGCGGUGAAAUGUGUAGAGAUCCGGAGGAACACCAGUGGUGCAGACGGCGCUCUGGGCCGGACCUGACGAUGAGACGCGAAAGCGUGGGGAGCGAACGGG
RNAcentral lists this ribosomal RNA (253 nucleotides) under uncultured bacterium. RNAcentral's name for it is "partial 16S ribosomal RNA". It matches the Rfam family "Bacterial small subunit ribosomal RNA", at positions 524 to 776 of the family's 1533-position model. The record is from RNAcentral.